Humulus lupulus (European hop) is the source of this 672-nucleotide long non-coding RNA. RefSeq lists it as uncharacterized. Lineage: Eukaryota; Viridiplantae; Streptophyta; Magnoliopsida; Rosales; Cannabaceae. The record is from RefSeq and is a predicted model, not a curated record. The transcript is spliced from 2 exons.
UUUUGUGUUUUAUGAGGUUUUUGGGGUUCUUGGAGUACAAGCUGAUUUUUUGUUAUUUGAUUGAGUUUAUAAGAGAGUAUAUAUGUUUAUAAAUGUUUGAAUAGAUGUGGAGACUCAUUUAAUUUGGGUGAUGAUCUAGGAGAUUUGAAUUUUAUCAAAAUCGGUAUAUGAUAACUUUAUGAUGAAUCAUGUUGGUAUUUGGGAUAUAUGGUUAUGGCAGGUUAAUUGAUGUUGAUUAUUGGUGGAUUUUGAUAUUUGAGGAUAGCUAAAAUUAAGGGGAAACUCUGUCAAAAUUUCCCCAAAUGUCUAAGAUAAAUCUAAUGCUCGAUCUAGGUGGUUUAAGGCAUUUUAGGCAUGUUUUGGGUAUGAAAUUUGAUAUGAAGUUUUAUGGGUAUUUUUAAAUGAGAGUUCAAUGUAUUACUGCCAUCAUUAUGAUGAGAAAUCCAUACUAUUGUCAGGAUAAGCACAUCAAUACCUAAGACAUCACUUGUUACACGGUGAAAUAUAUUUUGGACAAAAGGUAGAGAAAGAAAUGUGUGAAUGACAUGAGGAGAACUGAAGCAUGGUCCUGACCCUGAUUUGUACAUAUGAACAUAUCGACCUUUUUGUGGGUUAUUUCAGUUAUCAGUGAGAUGUUUGUAAUAAAGUGUGAAGUUAUGUUUUGAAAACAAA